AAGUCGUAACAAGGUUUCCGUAGGUAAGUUACACAAAAUAUCCUCGCUCUUCAUGGGAACAGUCGCUAACAUCUCUUCCAGGUGAACCUGCGGAAGGAUCAUUACAGUGUUAGGCUUCGGCCUCAUUCACACCCCUUGUUUAACCUCUGGUUUCUUUGGCGAUGUCAUGGACUCGUCAAACUUUAACUCUGAUAAUGUGGUACUGUCCGAGUGAUAUUGAAUUAUCAAAACUUUCAACAACGGAUCUCUUGGUUCCAGCAUCGAUGAAGAACGCAGCGAAAUGCGAUAAAUAAUGUGAAUUGCAGAAUUCCGUGAAUCAUCGAGUUUUUGAACGCACAUUGCACUCCUUGGUAUUCCGAGGAGUACGCCUGUUCGAGCGUCAUUACACUAUCAAGCUCCGCUUGGAUUUGAAUCGCUGUCGUGGCAGGAUUCCAAUAUCGUAGGCAAUUGACCAUCUGUGAUGACUCACUUGGAGUUAAUUCGCCUGAACCUUUUUAAACAGUUGACCUCGGAUCAGGCGGGGAUACCCGCUGAACUUA
Molecule: ribosomal RNA, 539 nt
Filed under: uncultured fungus
Lineage: Eukaryota; Fungi
Description: eukaryotic LSU rRNA
Rfam family: 5.8S ribosomal RNA (bases 229-382)
Source: RNAcentral